Molecule: ribosomal RNA, 498 nt
Filed under: uncultured bacterium
Lineage: Bacteria
Description: partial 16S ribosomal RNA
Rfam family: Bacterial small subunit ribosomal RNA
Source: RNAcentral
GAUGAACGCUAGCGGCAGGCUUAAUACAUGCAAGUCGAACCGGAUUGAGAAGCUUGCUUUUCAUGAGAGUGGCGCACGGGUGCGUAACACGUAUGCAACCUGCCUUGUCCAGGGGGAUAGCCCGUUGAAAGACGGAUUAAGACCGCAUAACAUCAUUGAAUGGCAUCGUUUAAUGAUCAAAUAUUUAUAGGGACAAGAUGGGCAUGCGUCUGAUUAGCUAGUUGGCGGGGUAAUGGCCCACCAAGGCGACGAUCAGUAGGGGAUCUGAGAGGAUGACCCCCCACACUGGAACUGAGACACGGACCAGACUCCUACGGGAGGAAGCAGUAAGGAAUAUUGGUCAAUGGGCGCAAGCCUGAACCAGCCAUGCCGCGUGCAGGAAGACGGCCCUACGGGUUGUAAACUGCUUUUAUACGGGAAUAGCCCCGGUUUCGUGAAACCGGCUGAAUGUACCGUAGGAAUAAGGAUCGGCUAACUCCGUGCCAGCCGCCGCAGUAA